UUUUAAUUUAAACCAUUCAUCCUUACUAAUUGACCCAUUUUAUCUCAAAUAAUUUCUAUAAUCCCAAAUUUUACAAAUUUCCUCUUUCUUUUAACUAAAGUCUUGUCUGAGGGGCAUUUUUGAACUGUUCUGGUGUCUAGAAAUGUCCUACGCAUGCCCAUAAGCUAUAGGACAUCACAGGCCCAGCAACAAUAGCACCUUGGUGUCGCAUGCUUUUGACAAAACCAUUUGGUUAAUUUUUUU
This 243-nucleotide long non-coding RNA is filed under the name Carica papaya (papaya). RNAcentral describes it as "long non-coding RNA (CPAP_LNC002805)". Lineage: Eukaryota; Viridiplantae; Streptophyta; Magnoliopsida; Brassicales; Caricaceae. The record is from RNAcentral.